This 2736-nucleotide ribosomal RNA is filed under the name Roseibium polysiphoniae. RNAcentral describes it as "23S ribosomal RNA". It matches the Rfam family "Bacterial large subunit ribosomal RNA". The record is from RNAcentral. Lineage: Bacteria; Pseudomonadati; Pseudomonadota; Alphaproteobacteria; Hyphomicrobiales; Stappiaceae.
GAGUAAUCAAGUGUAAGAAGGGCAUUCGGUGGAUGCCUUGGCGACAAGAGGCGAUGAAGGACGUGAUACGCUGCGAUAAGCGUCGGGGAGCUGCGAAUAAGCUUUGAUCCGGCGAUUUCCGAAUGGGGCAACCCACUCCGUAUGGAGUAUCCCGCAAGGGAAGCAAACCCGGGGAACUGAAACAUCUAAGUACCCGGAGGAAAGGACAUCAACCGAGACUCCGCUAGUAGUGGCGAGCGAACGCGGACCAGGCCAGUGGCUAUGAGAUAAGAACCGGAACGCUCUGGAAAGUGCGGCCUUAGUGGGUGAUAGCCCCUUACGGGUAGAAAAUCUUAUAGUCCUUGAGUAGGGCGGGACACGUGAAAUCCUGUCUGAACAUGGGGGGACCACCCUCCAAGCCUAAGUACUCCUUGUCGACCGAUAGUGAACAAGUACCGUGAGGGAAAGGUGAAAAGCACCCCGACGAGGGGAGUGAAACAGAUCCUGAAACCGGAUGCCUACAAACAGUUGGAGCCCGAAAGGGUGACAGCGUACCUUUUGUAUAAUGGGUCAGCGACUUAAUUUAGCGAGCAAGCUUAAGCCGAUAGGUGUAGGCGUAGGGAAACCGAGUCUUAAUAGGGCGUCUUAGUUCGUUGGAUUAGACCCGAAACCGAGUGAUCUAGCCAUGAGCAGGUUGAAGGUGCGGUAACACGCACUGGAGGACCGAACCCACGCCUGUUGAAAAAGGCGGGGAUGACUUGUGGCUAGGGGUGAAAGGCCAAUCAAACUCGGAAAUAGCUGGUUCUCCGCGAAAUCUAUUUAGGUAGAGCGUCAGAUGAAUACUCUCGGGGGUAGAGCACUGGAUGGGCUAUGGGGGCUUACCGCCUUACUGAUCCUAACCAAACUCCGAAUACCGAGAAGUACUAUCUGGCAGACACACAGUGGGUGCUAACGUCCAUUGUGGAGAGGGAAACAACCCUGACCGCCAGUUAAGGUCCCUAAGUUAUGGCUAAGUGGGAAAGGAUGUAGAACUCCCAAAACAACCAGGAUGUUGGCUUAGAAGCAGCCAUCAUUUAAAGAAAGCGUAACAGCUCACUGGUCUAAAUAAGGGGUUCCGCGCCGAAAAUGUACCGGGGCUCAAGCCAUACACCGAAACUGCGGGUUUAGCGUAAGCUAAGCGGUAGCGGAGCGUUCUGUAAGUCUGCGAAGGGUGACCCGCGAGGGCACCUGGAGAUAUCAGAAGUGCGAAUGCUGACAUGAGUAACGAUAAAGGGUGUGAGAGACACCCUCGCCGAAAGUCCAAGGGUUCCUGCUCAACGCUAAUCGGAGCAGGGUUAGUCGGCCCCUAAGGCGAGGCCGAAAGGCGUAGUCGAUGGGAAACAGGUUAAUAUUCCUGUACUUGUGGGUAGUGACGGAUGCCGUGUGUCGUAUCUCCUUAUUGGAUUGGGGAUGCGGCGAAGGUGUUCCAGGAAAUAGCUCCCACGUAUAAACCGUACCCGAAACCGACACAGGUGGACUGGUAGAGCAUACCAAGGCGCUUGAGAGAACUGUGCUGAAGGAACUCGGCAAAUUGCUCCCGUAAGUUCGCGAGAAGGGAGACCCAUGCUUGGGCAACCAGGUGUGGGUGGCACAGACCAGGGGGUGGCGACUGUUUAUCAAAAACACAGGGCUCUGCGAAGUCGCAAGACGACGUAUAGGGUCUGACGCCUGCCCGGUGCCGGAAGGUUAAGAGGAGGUGUGCAAGCACCGAAUUGAAGCCCCGGUAAACGGCGGCCGUAACUAUAACGGUCCUAAGGUAGCGAAAUUCCUUGUCGGGUAAGUUCCGACCUGCACGAAUGGCGUAACGACUUCCCCGCUGUCUCCAGCACAGACUCAGUGAAAUUGAAUUCCCCGUGAAGAUGCGGGGUUCCUGCGGUCAGACGGAAAGACCCCGUGCACCUUUACUACAGCUUCACACUGGUAUUCGUCACGACAUGUGUAGGAUAGGUGGUAGACGUUGAAGCAGGAGCGCCAGCUCUUGUGGAGUCACCCUUGAAAUACCACCCUUGUCGUUAUGGAUAUCUAACCGCGGUACUACAAUAUCCGGGACCGUGUGUGGCGGGUAGUUUGACUGGGGCGGUCGCCUCCCAAAUGGUAACGGAGGCGCGCGAAGGUGGGCUCAGAGCGGUCGGAAAUCGCUCGUUGAGUGCAAUGGCAUAAGCCUGCCUGACUGCGAGACUGACAAGUCGAGCAGAGACGAAAGUCGGCCAUAGUGAUCCGGUGGUCCCUCGUGGAAGGGCCAUCGCUCAACGGAUAAAAGGUACGCCGGGGAUAACAGGCUGAUGAUGCCCAAGAGUCCAUAUCGACGGCAUUGUUUGGCACCUCGAUGUCGACUCAUCACAUCCUGGGGCUGGAGCAGGUCCCAAGGGUUUGGCUGUUCGCCAAUUAAAGUGGUACGUGAGUUGGGUUCAGAACGUCGCGAGACAGUUCGGUCCCUAUCUGCCGUGGGUGUAGGAGAAUUGAGAGGAUCUGUCCCUAGUACGAGAGGACCGGGAUGGACGUACCUCUGGUGGACCUGUUGUGGCGCCAGCCGCAUAGCAGGGUAGCUAUGUACGGAAGGGAUAACCGCUGAAAGCAUCUAAGCGGGAAACCCACCUCAAAACGAGUUCUCCCUGAAGAGCCGUGGAAGACCACCACGUUGAUAGGAAGCAUGUGGAAGCACAGCAAUGUGUGAAGCUGAGCUUUACUAAUAGCUCGUUCGGCUUGAUUACUCUCAUU